This 463-nucleotide ribosomal RNA is filed under the name uncultured bacterium. Its description in RNAcentral is "partial 16S ribosomal RNA". It matches the Rfam family "Bacterial small subunit ribosomal RNA", at positions 28 to 507 of the family's 1533-position model. The record is from RNAcentral.
GAUGAACGCUGACAGAAUGCUUAACACAUGCAAGUCUUUGGCGAAGCUGUGCUUGCACCGCCUAGCCAAGGCGGACGGGUGAGUAACGCGUAAGGAACUUGCCCUGCAGUCAGGGAUAACAGACGGAAACGACUGAUAAGACCUGGUAAAGUCAGGCGGACUCAUGUCCAGCCUGAUGAAAAGAGAUGCUGCAGGAGAGCCUUGCGUCCUAUUAGCUUGUUGGUGGGGUAACGGCCCACCAAGGCGAUGAUAGGUAGCCGGCCUGAGAGGGUGGACGGCCACAAGGGGGCUGAGAUACGGCCCUUACGCCUACGGGAGGCAGCAGUGGGGAAUAGUGGACAAUGGGGGCAACCCUGAUCCAGCAAUUCUGUGUGCACGAUGAAGGUUUUCGGAGUGUAAAGUGCUUUCAGCAGGGAAGAAAAAAAUGACGGUACCUGCAGAAGAAGCGACGGCUAAAUACGUG